UUACACAUAUCCUCAGUGAUUGAUAUAAUCUUGCAUCCAGUUCAUGUUAAGUUAUGGGCAUAGAAAACUCUAGAGGAAAGAACCGAAUACAAGAUAAUAUCUUAACGUUUCAGAAACCAAAAUGUGGACUACCAUGCACAAUGCAAUGCAGAAGAGCUCACUGGAUAUAGUGCACAGUUGUUUUUCAGUUAUAAAACUACUCUGGAGCUCAUAAAAUGAAGCAUUAUAAUCAACAUUAUUGUCAUCCGAGAUAUAUAAUCUUAUUUUUACCAUUGUAAUGAAAAAGCAAACACAAACAUGCCAAUACACUUGCCCUAAUUGACCUUUCCCUUGAAAAUCGAUAAAGCGAAGGUUUGUUUUGUCAACAUGAUCCCAUGGUAAUGCUCAUGUUUUUCUAAUGUUGUCUCGUGCUCAUCAACCCAAAAUGCAUACAUGUAAUACCAAUAUUGAAAUAUAAAUAUAAAAACAUAUCCACAUUUUGGUACUUAUGGGUGGGAGAGGGGGAACUUAUCAAGAACCUCAUCAACCCAAACAGGCAAUAUGUAUUGCCUGACCAAACAUAGCCCUUAAACCAACCACCACUUGGAUAUUGAAAGAAUGAGGAUGUAUCACAUGUACUUCCGCCAAAGAUAUCAACCAAUGAGGUUAUACACAUAUCCUCAGUGAUUGAUAUAAUCUUGCAUCCAGUUCAUGUUAAGUUAUGGGCAUAGAAAACUCUAUAGUCCAUACAGCAUAUUUGCAGGCCAAUCUCAAAAUACACCACUAGCAAGGCUUUCCCUUAAGGAAUAGUAUUCCCAAUACUCAAAACAAAUUCAACACUUUUAUUAAAUAUUAUUCCUUUUAAAAUUACUUUAAAACACUUCUAAACAUUUAAAGAUGCAUGUAAACAGUUCUUUAUAAAUCGUUCAUAAUUCAAUAAAUUCUCAUGAAUUUGACCACAUACGGACUUUUAAAAGUUGAGUUAAGGCAAUGAACUCAUAUCAAAAUGAACAUUGUCAUUAUUCUAAUAACAUCUUCAGCAUGUGGAAAGCUUGUAAGCAAAGGGACUUAACCUCCAAGUGUAAACUAUGCUGGCUUGUCUCUUUCUUUACUGUUGUUGAAUCAAACACACUCUUUACUUCAUAAUCAGGAACAUUGACAAUUGUAUUUCCACUCGAUUCUUCACAUGUCUGCUGAAAAUAUAUUAACCAAUAACAAAUUGUUUAUUUGUACUAAAGACAGCAUUAGUCACACUUUGAAAAGGAAAAAUCCCUUUGCCUACAAUCCACGUGGAAAACCACUAGGGAAUCAGUGUCCCUCGAACUGUAGACAAAGAAAUUUAAAUUAAAAAAUUUAACCAUACAUAAAAUUUAAGUAUACAUUUGUACUAGUAUACAAAAUCAUUCAACAUUAUAUUUAUUUAUUAAUUUAGAUAAAACAAAACAAAACAAAACAAAAAUAUUGCAACCAUUAUUUAAUCUCCCAUGACAAAAAAAUUUUUGUGACAUAUUUCAACACAUCAAUGAAAUUAAAUACACAUCCAAUAGAAAACAUCAUGAAAUUACGGAAAAAUUAUUAGCAUUACUUUUAA
Molecule: long non-coding RNA, 1570 nt
Filed under: Mytilus galloprovincialis (Mediterranean mussel)
Lineage: Eukaryota; Metazoa; Mollusca; Bivalvia; Mytilida; Mytilidae
Source: RNAcentral